CCUACGGGGGGCAGCAGUGGGGAAUAUUGGACAAUGGGGGCAACCCUGAUCCAGCCAUGCCGCGUGUGUGAAGAAGGCCCUCGGGUUGUAAAGCACUUUCAGUGAGGAAGAACGCCUGGUGGUUAAUACCCAUCAGGAAAGACAUCACUCACAGAAGAAGCACCGGCUAACUCCGUGCCAGCAGCCGCGGUAAUACGGAGGGUGCGAGCGUUAAUCGGAAUUACUGGGCGUAAAGCGCGCGUAGGUGGCUUGAUAAGCCGGUUGUGAAAGCCCCGGGCUCAACCGGGGAACGGCAUCCGGAACUGUCAAGCUAGAGUGCAGGAGAGGAAGGUAGAAUUCCAGGUGUAGCGGUGAAAUGCGUAGAGAUCGGGAGGAAUACCAGUGGCGAAGGCGGCCUUCUGGACUGACACUGACACUGAGGUGCGAAAGCGUGGGUAGCAAACAGGAUUAGAUACCCCUGUAGUC
This 465-nucleotide ribosomal RNA is filed under the name Vreelandella stevensii. RNAcentral's name for it is "partial 16S ribosomal RNA". It matches the Rfam family "Bacterial small subunit ribosomal RNA", at positions 338 to 795 of the family's 1533-position model. The record is from RNAcentral. Lineage: Bacteria; Pseudomonadati; Pseudomonadota; Gammaproteobacteria; Oceanospirillales; Halomonadaceae.